This is a long non-coding RNA of Alosa sapidissima (American shad), 128 nucleotides long. RefSeq lists it as uncharacterized. The record is from RefSeq and is a predicted model, not a curated record. The transcript has 3 exons. NCBI's taxonomy places the organism in Eukaryota, Metazoa, Chordata, Actinopteri, Clupeiformes, Clupeidae.
AAGCCCGGGAACUACUCUUGGAGCUUAACGAGUGCAGCUGGCUUUUGAGGCCGUUAUGUCAUCAAAGCCAUUCAAGUCUGUGGGGGAGAAAUGAGCUUUUUAACAUUUGGAAUCCCCUAUUUCACAAA